CCAAUAGCGUAUAUUAAAGUUGUUGCAGUUAAAAAGCUCGUAGUUGAAUUUCGAGAUCGGUUUAUUAGUCGUGCUUUUGUACGUACUGGUAUUACCGGUUUCUCCUUUCUGACGAACCUUAAUGCCAUUAAUUUGGUGUUUUGGGAAAUCAGGACUGUUACUUUGAAAAAAUUAGAGUGUUUAAAGCAGGCUCACGCUUGAAUACAUUAGCAUGGAAUAACGGAAUAGGACGUUUGAUUCUAUUUUGUUGGUUUCUAGGAUCGACGUAAUGAUUAAUAGGGAUAGUUGGGGGCAUUAGUAUUCAAUUGUCAGAGGUGAAAUUCUUGGAUUUAUUGAAGACUAACUACUGCGAAAGCAUUUGCCAAGGAUGUUUUCAUUAAUCAAGAACGAAAGUUAGGGGAUCGAAGACGAUCAGAUACCGUCGUAGUCUUAACCAUAAACUAUGCCGACUAGGGAUCGGAUGAUGUUAAUUUUUUAAUGACUCAUUCGGCGCCUUACG
Molecule: ribosomal RNA, 499 nt
Filed under: uncultured Glomeromycotina
Lineage: Eukaryota; Fungi; Glomeromycota
Description: partial small subunit ribosomal RNA
Rfam family: Eukaryotic small subunit ribosomal RNA
Source: RNAcentral